Molecule: ribosomal RNA, 325 nt
Filed under: uncultured eukaryote
Lineage: Eukaryota
Description: partial 18S ribosomal RNA
Rfam family: Eukaryotic small subunit ribosomal RNA
Source: RNAcentral
CCCUUAGAUGUUCUGGGCCGCACGCGCGCUACACUGAUGCAUUCAACGAGCCUAUCCUUGACCGACAGGUCCGGGUAAUCUUCGAAUCUGCAUCGUGACGGGGAUAGAUUAUUGCAAUUAUUAAUCUUCAACGAGGAAUGCCUAGUAGGCGCAAGUCAUCAGCUUGCGUCGAUUACGUCCCUGCCCUUUGUACACACCGCCCGUCGCUCCUACCGAUUGGGUGUGCUGGUGAAAUGUUCGGAUCGGCCGUUUGUCGCGGUUUCCGCGGCUCGUGGCUGAGAAGUUCAUUAAACCCUCCCACCUAGAGGAAGGAGAAGUCGUAACA